Long non-coding RNA from Nicotiana tabacum (common tobacco), 824 nucleotides. RefSeq lists it as uncharacterized. Lineage: Eukaryota; Viridiplantae; Streptophyta; Magnoliopsida; Solanales; Solanaceae. The record is from RefSeq and is a predicted model, not a curated record.
UGUUGAAAGCCCUCCCUUACAGAGCUCCUCAACAUAGAAUUCAUGCGUGAGAGCCCAAAUCUCGACAAUCCGUUGCCAUGCCAAAGAUUAAACGUUUUCGGAAUCCAUUGAAAUCAGCUCAUGGACCAUAUGAUGCUUCUGGACAUUCUUCAUCAUCAACAACUCCAGUCACGUCACUUGCUAUAGAGCCCUCAACAUCGUUACAAGCUCCACCACAUGCUCUUGCAAGUUCCUCAGCAGCUGAUGAAGUCCCACAACAAGAACAAGCUCCGACUCAACCUUCUAAUCCAAGUGCAAUGUCCACACACCAUCAUGGAUGUGAAUCUACACAAUAUUAAAAAGUAGAGACUCAAACAACACUACUAAGCACAUUAUGAUCAAGGUCAAUGAGGUCAACAACCUACCUAUCAGAGAUCGCAUCAUUGUGGACUUUGAUAACUACAAUGCAGCAUAUGGGGAAACACAAGGGUUGCUUGUGAUAUUGUGGAUUGUUCGCUAUUGAUGACAAUUUCUUCCUAGUUAAUUUUGACAGGUGGUCAGGACUGUCAGGUAUUCCUAAAAAAUACAAAUGAAGACGGCUUCUAAAACCAUGCUAAAGUUAUUACACAAAUGUUUAUUUAUUGUAACUAGAUUUUUAUACAUGAAGUGUAAACUAACUUUCUUUUUCUUUUUCAUUUGAAGCCUCGAUUUUUUUAGGACUACUAAUGCCAUUGCAUAUAGAUAUUGCAAUGCUAGUUUGCAUAAGAAGUGAAAAACACAUAGACAUAGGUUGUGGGAUGAAUUUUAUGACCCAGCCAAAAGCAGAACUGAACUUUUAGCAAUGU